This 636-nucleotide long non-coding RNA is filed under the name Phasianus colchicus (ring-necked pheasant). RNAcentral describes it as "lncRNA (ENSPCLG00000008150.1)". The record is from RNAcentral. Lineage: Eukaryota; Metazoa; Chordata; Aves; Galliformes; Phasianidae.
AUUUCUGUUGCUGUUAGUGUUACUUCAGUCUCAGUUCAUUUUACUGUUAAGACUUGAACUUUCUCAGAUUGCUAAUAUGUACAUUGAGCAGUUUUGUGUUUUUUGUUGUUGUUUUUUUGUUUCUUAAGGUCUGUAAAGCCAAGUUUCCAUUACUGGGGCUAAUGGAGGCUGAGAAAUAGUGAGAAAGGCUGAAUAAAAGGCAUCAAUGGAUGCUCUGGGAAGCACAUUUCAGCACUGCCUGCACAACACUGCUUAGAAUCAGGGAUUCUUAAAUUCAAUUCAUACCCUACUGCAUCCUGUUUUGCUCCUGUAGGGGCAAUGAGAGUUGCCUUUCCAAAUACUUUGGAAGAAUAAGAACAUAAAGCUCACUGGAUAACCAGAAAAGAGGAGAGAAAGAGAUUUUUAGGUCCCGUGAGUAUGAUCUUGCUAUUAAGAUUGCAAGGACUGCAACCCUUUACAAUAGGGAGUGAAUAGGCAAUAGAGAUUGGCCUCGGUGGUGCUGUGUGUUCCACAGUAAGAAAAUGAUGGAAGACUGAAAAGAGCUACAGAGGUUAAAUCAUAUAUACAUAUAUAAAUAGGUAAAUACAACCUUAUUGGAAUAAUAAAAAGCUGUUGUUGAAAUACCUCUCUUACUGC